Non-coding RNA from Gossypium raimondii (Peruvian cotton), 107 nucleotides. Lineage: Eukaryota; Viridiplantae; Streptophyta; Magnoliopsida; Malvales; Malvaceae. The record is from Rfam.
AAUUCAUUGUGCGGGCAUUUUUGAAUAAACAUAUUGAAGUGUUCCCACACCUCAUAGAAGCUUUCUUCUUUGAUCUAUCUAAAUACAAAAAUCUCUCUUCUUAAUUU